This 460-nucleotide ribosomal RNA is filed under the name uncultured bacterium. RNAcentral's name for it is "partial 16S ribosomal RNA". It matches the Rfam family "Bacterial small subunit ribosomal RNA", at positions 338 to 795 of the family's 1533-position model. The record is from RNAcentral.
CCUACGGGUGGCAGCAGUGAGGAAUAUUGGUCAAUGGACGAGAGUCUGAACCAGCCAAGUAGCGUGAAGGAUGACUGCCCUAUGGGUUGUAAACUUCUUUUAUAUGGGAAUAAAAUGUUCCACGUGUGGGAUUUUGUAUGUACCCUAUGAAUAAGGAUCGGCUAACUCCGUGCCAGCAGCCGCGGUAAUACGGAGGUUCCGAGCGUUAUCCGGAUUUAUUGGGUUUAAAGGGAGCGUAGGUGGAUUGUUAAGUCAGUUGUGAAAGUUUGCGGCUCAACCGUAAAAUUGCAGUUGAAACUGGCAGUCUUGAGUACAGUAGAGGUGGGCGGAAUUCGUGGUGUAGCGGUGAAAUGCUUAGAUAUCACGAAGAACUCCGAUUGCGAAGGCAGUUCACUGGACUGCAACUGACACUGAGGCUCGAAAGUGUGGGUAUCAAACAGGAUUAGAUACCCCAGUAGUC